GGGGGCUGCGCGUGCUAUAAUGCAGUCGAGCGGACUGAUGGGAGCUUGCUCCCAUCAGUCAGCGGCGGACGGGUGAGUAACACGUGGGUAACCUGCCUGUAAGACUGGGAUAACUCCGGGAAACCGGGGCUAAUACCGGAUAACUCAUUUCCUCGCAUGAGGAAAUGUUGAAAGAUGGCUUCUUGCUUUCCCUUACAAAGGGACCCGCGGCGCAUUACCUAGUUGGGGAGGUAACGGUUCACCAAGGCAACAAUGCGUACCCAACCUGAAAGGGGGAUCGGCCACCCUGGGACUGAAACACGGCCCAAACUCCUACGGGAGGCAGCAGUAGGGAAUCUUCCGCAAGGGACAAAAGUCUGACGAACCACCCCCCCGGGAGUGAUGAAGGUUUUCGAAUCGUAAAACUCUGUUGUUAGGGAAAAACAAGUACCGUUCGAAUAGGGGGGUACCUUGACGGUACCUAACCAAAAAGCCACGGUUAACUACUUGCCACCACCCGCGGUAAUACGUAGGUGGCAAGCGUUGUCCGGAAUUAUUGGGCGUAAAGCGCGCGCAGGUGGUUUCUUAAGUCUGAUGUGAAAGCCCACGGUUCACCCGUGAAGGGUCAUUGAAAACUGGGAAACUUGAUUGCAGAAAAGGAAAGUGAAAUUCCAAGUGUAGCGUUGAAUUGCGUAAAUAUUUGAAGGAACACCAUUGCCGAAGGCGACUUUCUGGUCUGUAACUGACACUGAGGCGCGAAGGCGUGGGGGAGCAAACAGGAUAAGAUACCCUGUUAGUCCACGCCGUAAACGAUGAUUGCUAGGUGUAAGAGGGUUUCCGCCCUUUAGUGCUGCAGCUACGGCAUUAGGCACUCGCCUGGGGAGUACGGUCGCAGACUGAACUCAAAGAUGACGGGGCCGCACAGCGUGAGCAUGUGUAUCGAGCACGCGAGACUACAGUCUGACAUCUCUGACACCUAGAGAUAGCUUCCCUCGGGACGAUGACAGUGUGCAUGUGUCGUCAGCUCGUCUGA
This 1012-nucleotide ribosomal RNA is filed under the name Bacillus sp. A-3. Its description in RNAcentral is "bacterial SSU rRNA". It matches the Rfam family "Bacterial small subunit ribosomal RNA", at positions 37 to 1067 of the family's 1533-position model. The record is from RNAcentral. Lineage: Bacteria; Bacillati; Bacillota; Bacilli; Caryophanales; Bacillaceae.